Molecule: ribosomal RNA, 484 nt
Filed under: uncultured bacterium
Lineage: Bacteria
Description: partial 16S ribosomal RNA
Rfam family: Bacterial small subunit ribosomal RNA
Source: RNAcentral
AUUGAACGCUGGCGGCAGGCCUAACACAUGCAAGUCGAGCGGAUGAAGGGAGCUUGCUCCUGGAUUCAGCGGCGGACGGGUGAGUAAUGCCUAGGAAUCUGCCUGGUAGUGGGGGAUAACGUCCGGAAACGGGCGCUAAUACCGCAUACGUCCUGAGGGAGAAAGUGGGGGAUCUUCGGACCUCACGCUCUCAGAUGAGCCUAGGUCGGAUUAGCUAGUUGGGGGGGUAAAGGCCUACCAAGGCGACGAUCCGUAACUGGUCUGAGAGGAUGAUCAGUCACACUGGAACUGAGACACGGUCCAGACUCCUACGGGAGGCAGCAGUGGGGAAUAUUGGACAAUGGGCGAAAGCCUGAUCCAGCCAUGCCGCGUGUGUGAAGAAGGUCUUCGGAUUGUAAAGCACUUUAAGUUGGGAGGAAGGGCAGUAAGUUAAUACCUUGCUGUUUUGACGUUACCAACAGAAUAAGCACCGGCUAACUUCGUG